This 273-nucleotide ribosomal RNA is filed under the name uncultured bacterium. Its description in RNAcentral is "partial 16S ribosomal RNA". It matches the Rfam family "Bacterial small subunit ribosomal RNA", at positions 524 to 776 of the family's 1533-position model. The record is from RNAcentral.
UACAGAGGGUGCGAGCGUUGUCCGGAAUCACUGGGCGUAAAGGGCGCGUAGGUGGCGGCAUAAGGCCGCGGUGAAAGUUCGGGGCUCAACCCUGAAUCGGCCGCGGCGACUGUGUCGCUAGGGCACCGUAGAGGCAGAUGGAAUUCCGGGUGUAGCGGUGGAAUGCGUAGAGAUCCGGAAGAACACCAGUGGCGAAGGCGGUCUGCUGGGCGGUGGGUCCGCGAGGAUCCGAAUAGCCGACACUGAGGCGCGACAGCGUGGGGAGCAAACAGG